RNAcentral lists this long non-coding RNA (1036 nucleotides) under Daucus carota (carrot). Its description in RNAcentral is "long non-coding RNA (DCAR_LNC005986)". The record is from RNAcentral. Lineage: Eukaryota; Viridiplantae; Streptophyta; Magnoliopsida; Apiales; Apiaceae.
AUUCUUCUCUCAUUCCUUGCAGACCUGGAUUGUAACAUCCACGUUCUGUAACAUCAAGGUUCAGAUUACUGGCUUUGAGGCUAUGAUUCAUCUUUGCAUUUUCUUCUCCAGUGAGGAAGACCCUUUCUUGUGGAUGAUUGGUGAAUAAGAGAUCAGUUUCUCUAUUAUAGUCAUUAACAUGAACGAUCAGCCUCGGUUAAGACUUGAGCAUGCUAGUGACGUACAACUUGUUAGAUAAUCUUUGUUCAAGUUGCAUCGUUAUGUUAGAAUCUGACGUUAUUGGGUUGGGACUUGACAGGAGAUUUUAUUCAGGUGUUGAGGUACCGUAAGAUUUUCUCUGUUUUGGUGGGACAUUUAUUAGAGUUUUAGUGAAAAAGACCGUUUUUAAGGGGCACAAAUUCUUGGUAGAUUUAACCCCAUAGGCCAUAACUAUAGUCUUUUCUAGUUGGGAGUGGCCUCUUUGAUUGAUAAAUCUCGUGUUGCUUCUCGAGAAGAUUGGGAGAAUCGAUAGAGGUGGAAGCAACAAAGUGAGGAAGCAGAACUGGGCGACUGGCCUAGAUAGACGAUUUGAAGAGAGAAGAAUAGAAGAGGCAGUAAGAUCAAGGGUGAUGAGAGGGUAUCCGAUCUUGAUUCUUUAGCUUCUUUUCUAUUUUUUAAAUUUAAAAUUUUAGGUAUCUUGGUUUUUUUUUUUUUUUUUUUUUAAAUUAAGGUAUCUUGGUUUUUAAAAUAUAAUUUAGAACCUUCCUUCAAAAAAAUAUAAUUUAGAACCUUGAUUCUUCAGCCAGUAUACUAAUUUAUUAUUAAAAAUAUUGUGGUAUUAAAUUAUGAUUCUAAAUUAUUUUUAAAAUUUUGUGAUAUUCAAUUGAUAUUAUCAAAAAUAUGAAAGAAUGUUUUGAAAUAGUUGAUCAUGAGAGAUUUGUCUCUGUGUUUUAUAAUUUUAGAAUAUUUCCAAAAUCAAUGAGAUGUUAAAGAGGAUAAAUGCUAGAACUCUACAUCAACUAUACCGAAGAUUUCAGAAUGGAGAGAAAUGCAAAAA